AACGAACGCUGGCGCCAUGCCUAACACAUGCAAGUCGAACGAGACCUUCGGGUCUAGUGGCGCACGGGUGCGUAACGCGUGGGAACCUGCCCUUAGGUUCGGAAUAACUCCCCGAAAGGGGUUCUAAUACCGGAUAAUGUCUUCGGACCAAAGAUUUAUCGCCUUUGGAUGGGCCCGCGUUGGAUUAGCUAGUUGGUAGGGUAAAAGCCUACCAAGGCGACGAUCCAUAGCUGGUCUGAGAGGAUGAUCAGCCACACUGGGACUGAGACACGGCCCAGACUCCUACGGGAGGCAGCAGUGGGGAAUAUUGGACAAUGGGCGAAAGCCUGAUCCAGCAAUGCCGCGUGAGUGAUGAAGGCCUUAGGGUUGUAAAGCUCUUUUACCCGGGAUGAUAAUGACAGUACCGGGAGAAUAAGCUCCGGCUAACUCCGUG
RNAcentral lists this ribosomal RNA (433 nucleotides) under uncultured bacterium. RNAcentral describes it as "partial 16S ribosomal RNA". It matches the Rfam family "Bacterial small subunit ribosomal RNA", at positions 29 to 507 of the family's 1533-position model. The record is from RNAcentral.